UGCUCCUGUGGCUAAGUGGUUAAAGCAUCCACCUUGGAUGCGGGAGAUCGUGGGUUCGAUCCCCAGUCAAGUCAU
This is a non-coding RNA of Potamilus streckersoni, 75 nucleotides long. The record is from the annotation of a GenBank genome assembly. NCBI's taxonomy places the organism in Eukaryota, Metazoa, Mollusca, Bivalvia, Unionida, Unionidae.